AUGUCGGGGGAGGACGUCCGCAAGGUCCAGAAUCUCAUCGAGCGCUGUCUCCAGCUGUAUAUGAACCAGAAAGAAGUGAUUGAUACCCUCUCCCUUGAGGCCAAGAUAGAACCGAGCUUUACUGAACUUGUUUGGCAAAAACUUGAGGAAGAGAACCGUGAAUUUUUUAAGGCAUACUAUUUGAGGCUGAUGCUUAAGAAUCAAAUAACGGCCUUCAACAAGCUUCUUGAGGAUCAGUUCCAGCUUAUGAACAAAGACUAUUCUUCAGGGAUCCCUUCUAUGCCUCUUACUAAUGGCUCCAACUCCACAACAUUGAAGCAAAACUUGUGCUUUUUACCAGAGUCUGGUCCCAUAUCUGCAAUGCCAAAUGGUGUGAUGCGCAAUGGAAGUUCAGGUGGUUUAGUAAAUGGAACAUCAUCUGGUGAUCAUUCAAUUUAUGGUGGUAAAGACAUUCAUGGUCCUCAUAGUAGCAUGGAUGCUUCAACCAACGUGCUACCAGCCCAAAAUGCAUCUGCUCUGCUGUAUGGUGCAGAUAAUAAUGGUACAACAAUAAAGACAGAGUCAAGCUAUUCGAGCAACGCUGAUUUUGCUUUCUGUGGGAACGCUUUCCUUGAAUCAUGCCAAUCAAUUGGCGAUGCCUCGGGUGGUUCCUUUAGCAGCUCAGAUUUGAACGGGCAACCACUGAAUGAUGCACUUUUGGAUAUGGAGUCAUCGUCAUUUGGCUUCUUGAGCCAGAUUCCCCGGAAUUUCAGUUUUUCAGACUUAACAGAGGGGUUCAAUCAAAAUACAGAAGUAUUAGAGAAUUAUGGCAGGUCGCCAUUUCUCUCAUCUGAGCCAAAUAACUUCUCAGAUUCUACAGGUGGAGAACAUACAGGUAAUCCAUUUUCGUCCAGUCUUCUUUUCCAGAGCCAGCCAUGA
RNAcentral lists this ribosomal RNA (918 nucleotides) under Triticum aestivum (bread wheat). RNAcentral's name for it is "partial small subunit ribosomal RNA". The record is from RNAcentral. Lineage: Eukaryota; Viridiplantae; Streptophyta; Magnoliopsida; Poales; Poaceae.